GGGUUAGUAGAUUGGUUAUGCCACUGGUAUGUACUGGUCUCACUGAUUCCUCCUUCCUGAUGAACCGUAAUGCCAUUAAUUUGGUGUUGCGGGGAGACUGGACUGUUACUUUGAAAAAAUUAGAGUGUUUAAAGCAAGCUAACGCUUGAAUACAUUAGCAUGGAAUAAUGAAAUAGGACGUUCGAUCCUAUUUUGUUGGUUUCUAGGAUUGACGUA
RNAcentral lists this ribosomal RNA (216 nucleotides) under Rhizophagus sp. (in: glomeromycetes). RNAcentral's name for it is "Rhizophagus sp. (in: Fungi) partial small subunit ribosomal RNA". It matches the Rfam family "Eukaryotic small subunit ribosomal RNA", at positions 644 to 864 of the family's 1831-position model. Lineage: Eukaryota; Fungi; Glomeromycota; Glomeromycetes; Glomerales; Glomeraceae. The record is from RNAcentral. RNAcentral also lists the same sequence under 1 other name.